AGAGCGAACGCUGGCGGCAGGCUUAACACAUGCAAGUCGAACGGACCUUUCGGGGUUAGUGGCGGACGGGUGAGUAACACGUGGGAACGUGCCUUUAGGUUCGGAACAACACAGGGAAACUUGUGCUAAUACCGGAUAAGCCUUUCGAGGGAAAGAUUUAUCGCCUUUAGAGCGGCCCGCGUCUGAUUAGCUAGUUGGCGAGGUAAAGGCUCACCAAGGCUACGAUCAGUAGCUGGU
Molecule: ribosomal RNA, 237 nt
Filed under: uncultured bacterium
Lineage: Bacteria
Description: partial small subunit ribosomal RNA
Rfam family: Bacterial small subunit ribosomal RNA
Source: RNAcentral